UACGUAGGGAGCAAGCGUUGUCCGGAAUCAUUGGGCGUAAAGCGCGCGUAGGUGGCCACAUAAGUCCGUUGUGAAAGUCAAAGGCUCAACCUUUGAAAGCCGAUGGAUACUGUGUGGCUAGAGUACGGAAGAGGCGAGUGGAAUUCCUGGUGUAGCGGUGGAAUGCGCAGAUAUCAGGAGGAACACCAAUAGCGAAGGCAGCUCGCUGGGACGUUACUGACGCUGAGACGCGAAAGCGUGGGGAGCAAACAGG
Molecule: ribosomal RNA, 253 nt
Filed under: uncultured bacterium
Lineage: Bacteria
Description: partial 16S ribosomal RNA
Rfam family: Bacterial small subunit ribosomal RNA
Source: RNAcentral